Molecule: ribosomal RNA, 590 nt
Filed under: Streptococcus mutans
Lineage: Bacteria; Bacillati; Bacillota; Bacilli; Lactobacillales; Streptococcaceae
Description: bacterial SSU rRNA
Rfam family: Bacterial small subunit ribosomal RNA
Source: RNAcentral
GACGAAAGUCUGACCGAGCAACGCCGCGUGAGUGAAGAAGGUUUUCGGAUCGUAAAGCUCUGUUGUAAGUCAAGAACGUGUGUGAGAGUGGAAAGUUCACAUAGUGACGGUAGCUUACCAGAAAGGGACGGCUAACUACGUGCCAGCAGCCGCGGUAAUACGUAGGUCCCGAGCGUUGUCCGGAUUUAUUGGGCGUAAAGGGAGCGCAGGCGGUCAGGAAAGUCUGGAGUAAAAGGCUAUGGCUCAACCAUAGUGUGCUCUGGAAACUGUCUGACUUGAGUGCAGAAGGGGAGAGUGGAAUUCCAUGUGUAGCGGUGAAAUGCGUAGAUAUAUGGAGGAACACCAGUGGCGAAAGCGGCUCUCUGGUCUGUCACUGACGCUGAGGCUCGAAAGCGUGGGUAGCGAACAGGAUUAGAUACCCUGGUAGUCCACGCCGUAAACGAUGAGUGCUAGGUGUUAGGCCCUUUCCGGGGCUUAGUGCCGGAGCUAACGCAAUAAGCACUCCGCCUGGGGAGUACCACCGCAAGGUUGAAACUCAAAGGAAUUGACGGGGGCCCGCACAAGCGGUGGAGCAUGUGGUUUAAUUCGAA